Long non-coding RNA from Cryptomeria japonica (Japanese cedar), 202 nucleotides. RefSeq lists it as uncharacterized. The transcript is spliced from 3 exons. The record is from RefSeq and is a predicted model, not a curated record. NCBI's taxonomy places the organism in Eukaryota, Viridiplantae, Streptophyta, Pinopsida, Cupressales, Cupressaceae.
UGAUACUGCACAAGAUACUGCUAGAGGAGAUACUGCUACAGGAUCUGAUGAGCAUAUGCAUGAGACAGGUGGAUCUGGACCACGUCCCGAGGACAAGAGAGAUACUGCUAUAGGAUCUGAUGAGCAUAUGCAUGAGACAGGUGGAUCUGGACCACGUCCUGGGGACAAGAGAGAUACUGCUACAGGAUCUGAUGAGCAUAUG